CUGCAUCAACUGAUAGACCUUUGAACAAUUUGCUGCUGUUCUUUUGGUUUACACUAGGUUGCAAAAGGAAAAAAAUCCCAGGGCUUUCUGUCUCUGUGGCAGCCAGAUUGAAUUGGGGUAAACAUAU
Molecule: small nucleolar RNA, 127 nt
Organism: Sorex fumeus (smoky shrew)
Lineage: Eukaryota; Metazoa; Chordata; Mammalia; Eulipotyphla; Soricidae
Product: small nucleolar RNA SNORA31
Exons: 1
Source: RefSeq, a predicted model, not a curated record